Molecule: long non-coding RNA, 460 nt
Organism: Lacerta agilis (Sand lizard)
Lineage: Eukaryota; Metazoa; Chordata; Lepidosauria; Squamata; Lacertidae
Exons: 3
Source: RefSeq, a predicted model, not a curated record
CUUGACAGCACCAGGAAGUCAGAUCUCCCAGAAGCAGCAUUCUCUCCAUUAGAAGCAUACCAGCUGCAAUUUUCAACUUUGUACCUAUCCUUGCAGGUUUUGGGAAGAUCAUGGACCUGGGCACCCAUUUAGCCUUCGGUUAAAGGUGUUUCUAUUAUCUUGCUGCUUAUGGGACUGUGGCAACAACUCCCUUGAGCUUCAGCAGGCUUCAUGAGCACGUUUAUGUCAUCGCAGAAGCAAGAUGUCACUUCCAGCAGCAACACUGGAACCAAGAUGGAAGUAAUGGUGGUGGGCAAGAAGAGUACCUUCAAAGAAGUAACUAGGUCAGGUGUUCAGAGCUGCUGUUGCCAGUUUGGCUCAAUAACCGUGGUGAUGCCUCCGUGGAUCCUGCUAAUCCCCCAGGACAGCGGUUCUCAAAGAGUGUGGCAGGAGGACUCCCCUGCUCAGCGCCUGAGGGCCC